UUUUUUAAAGAGAAGUAUUAUUUACAAUAAUAAAAAAAAGGCUACAUCUCAUAGACCUUCACUCAUGGGAGAAUUGCAAAUUAAAAUGAAUUAACACAGGACGGCAAACAGUGAAGAUCAAGAGAAAAGAAACAUCUUCACCAAGACUUCAAGGAAAAAAAUAAAUGGGAACAAAUAAUUUAUUAUGAGAUAGUAACGUUGAGUGAAACUUAAAAUGUGAUUUCUCGAUGAGCAGCAAUCACAUUUUCAGGUAAUGCCCUAACCAAACAUGAAAACAUAAGUAAGUAGAUAAAUAACUCCAUACCAAGAGUUAUUUAUCUUUUACUGCAGUCUUUCUGGUAAGAACAAAAAGUGGACAAUAAUCCAUAUGUUGAUAGCAGCGAUACAGCCAAAUUAAUAUUGGAGUAUUCAUAUGAUGAAUAAUACUGAAAAACAUUCACUUUACAAAAUAUUAUGUACAGGGGAUCAUUUACAUAAAAUUUGCAUACAUAAAACAAUGUUAUUUAUUAGUACAUUUUGAUAAACAUAAAAAUAAGAACUAGUUACAAAAUUCAUAAUAGCAGUUAACUCCAAGGAGAGAAGAAUGAAGAGAAAUGUGACCAGGAAAAAGUUAUUAGAAAACUCCAAAUUUAUUGGUAGUCAUGUAUUUCUAAAAGAUUAAAUAAAAUGACAUAACAAUAAUGUUUGUUAAUCCUGAGUUGUAGGUACAUGCGUAUUUUGUUCUUUUUGGUAUUUAAAAUAUUUUAGCAAAACAAAAAAAAAUAAAUUAUAAGUUUAUAAAUAUUUUGAAAAAAAAAAACCCACAAAAACUGGAAAGGUGAGAGGCUCUAUCAUAGAAAGCUGAGUAUUGCAGGCUUCAAUGAGGGAAUCACAGGCCCUGCCCCUUUUGCCUCCUUCUGAGGAUCUACAAUUGAGCCCCACAAAAAAAUUUCCAGGAUUCGUUUCCCUUGGAUGAUGUCACUUCAUUCUUCACUUCUGUUUACAGGUUAUUCUCUCUAGAACAUCUUCCCCAUUUUGUAAGAGUGAGUUACACUUCCCUCCUUUGUAAUUAAAAAGUUCUGUCACUCUUGUAUAAUUUCCUGUUUACUUGUGUCUCCCCUCUGUGACUACUACCUCUUGGGGGGAGGGGCUUGCAGAACUCAUUCUUGUAAGUCCCCCUGGCAAAGUUCCUAGCCCCAAGUUUCUGUAUCUUGCAUUUUUGCUGAGUAGAUUCCUGGCUCAAACAAGGUACUGCGGGAAGAAUCUUUGCUGGUAGAGGGCCUGAGGGUGCUAUCCAGAAACAGUCAAAACAAUCCCUUGAAAACCUUUUGCUGGAGUAGAACUUGUAUUUCAGAUUCAUUAUCAUCUGAAACUGAUUUUCAUGAACAACCACUACCAAAAAAAAGUAGAAUUCAUUUUUUUUAAAACUGCCAAUCUACCAGCUGGCCUUUCCUCCUGUUUUAUCUACACACACAAGAAAGGAAAAUUGACUUAGCAAUUGCUCAAAGUUGGAUUUUUCUUUUACAGCCGCAAUUCAAAAUACCCUUUUCAACAAUUUUUCCAUAUUAAAAAAAGACAAAGUAUUAGCCUUUUAGGAAAAUAGCCUAUGAGCAUUUUCUGGUUGUCUAGUUUUGGAAAACACAGGAACCACAUCAAACCUACCUACAGUAGUACUGAGGAAAGGAUGUGGGAUGAUGCGGGUUGCACAGAGUAAAAACCACACCCCUGUUAAACUCGACCUUAAUCCAUAUUUAGUUUUAAAAUCAUAACCUAACAUUGGUGCCCUUGACCUGAGAGCAACCAGUUAGCACAGUCCAAAAGGCAUAAGCCUGAUGAUUUUUGAAGAACACUGUUUCUGGGUUCAUUCAGAUGGGUCGAAGUCCCAGAGGUAGGUUGUGUUAUUGUUCCUGAACGUUCACAGCCCUUCCCACUGGGUUUGUCCUCGCCACGUGGUUUGCAGAGCCCCCUGACAGCGGAGGCGUGUAUUGCUUUACCCUGCCCCGCUGACAGUAGCGUGGCCACAUGACUUCCUUUGGCCAAUGAAAUGCGAAAGAAUGUGAACCUGCCCAAUUCCUGGUGGAAAGCUUAGAUAGCUUUGCGGUUUUCCAUCAGUGACCAGAUUCCCCAUAGUCUUUUCCAAAAGAAUGGAUAUUCCAGAGAUCAGUUCUGCUUUAAGCCUUAAUCCCAGAAGAAGAUUCAUGGAGCCAACUUGCAGAUGAUAAUGAACUUUAAAAUAAUAAUAAAUUUUAAAUAUGUCACACAGUAGGCGCCAGAGUGCUGCUCCAUCACUUCUCUAUGGCCGCCAGCAGGUGCUCCUUAUAGCAGGUGCACAAGGAGCUUUGCCCUAGGGGGGGGUCUUUCUUUCCGCAAGGCCAAGUGUGAUGAAUAUUCUGCUUCUACCACACAAGCUGACAAGCAGUCUCUGCCCUGCUUCUCAAAAGAGCUAGAAUUUUUUGAAUUCAGGACAAGCUCCAGUGUCCCACCUAAUUUCCAAAGGGAAACUUCCCAAAUUUCUCACUGAUGUCUCCUGAGCUUGCUAACUAUCUUUUCUGUAUCACAGUUGGAAGUACUAGAAUUUCCCAAAUUAAAGUUAUUUUUUCCUAUUGAUUUUGCUAUUAGUGACAACAGCAGCUUCUAGGAGAAGAUAAAAGACUUUUGGUCAAAUAUUCCUUGACUCUGGGUGUAGCCCAGAACAUGCCUGUGCCCAUCCUGUUUUAACAGGACCAAGAUGAGAUUUUUACAGUUACAGGGGAUUUUUUAUUUUAUUUAUUUAUUUAAUCUAGAGUUUCACAGACCGUGGUGCUGGGCAGGAAUGUUGUUCUAGAGGAAACAGAAAUCACACCAGAAAGAUUUGCAAAGAACCAGGAGCAAGAGUUAUGGUGAAGGAGGAUUUUCUUCUGCCUGAAGAUGGCAAAUGCCAUGAGCUGAGUAGAUUUCCUCCACCAUAUUCUUCUUCUACACUGUUAUGCCUCACCUUGGACCCAGAGCAACAGAGUUGGUCAUCCAUGGACUGAACCUAUGAAACUGUAAGCCUCAAAUAAAAUUGUCCUCCUCUGA
Molecule: non-coding RNA, 3036 nt
Organism: Ictidomys tridecemlineatus (thirteen-lined ground squirrel)
Lineage: Eukaryota; Metazoa; Chordata; Mammalia; Rodentia; Sciuridae
Source: RefSeq, a predicted model, not a curated record